CUUCUUGUAGGGUGAACAUGCGGAAGGAUCAUUG
This 34-nucleotide ribosomal RNA is filed under the name Anethum foeniculum (fennel). RNAcentral's name for it is "partial 18S ribosomal RNA". The record is from RNAcentral. Lineage: Eukaryota; Viridiplantae; Streptophyta; Magnoliopsida; Apiales; Apiaceae.